UAGGGAAUCUUUCACAAUGGGCGAAAGCCUGAUGGAGCAACGCCGCGUGUGUGAUGAAGGGUUUCGGCUCGUAAAACACUGUUGUAAGAGAAGAAUGACAUUGAGAGUAACUGUUCAAUGUGUGACGGUAUCUUACCAGAAAGGAACGGCUAAAUACGUGUCAG
RNAcentral lists this ribosomal RNA (164 nucleotides) under uncultured bacterium. RNAcentral's name for it is "partial 16S rRNA". It matches the Rfam family "Bacterial small subunit ribosomal RNA", at positions 355 to 511 of the family's 1533-position model. The record is from RNAcentral.